UACGAACUUCUAAGAAGUAAAUAAACUUUAAAAGGAAUAAUCAUAAUCUGAACUUGCAAUAUAUGUGAAGCCUUGAAAUCGACCAUCGAAAGCACAAGAUGCAUGCAUGAAAGAAAACUUGAGCGACCAUAAUGGGGUUUUAGUUAAAUUGAAGGACAAAUAUGUUGAGAUUUGUGGUCCAUUCCACAACGGUAGCAAAAAUCAUGUCCACACCUGUCAUAGAUUCAAAAAAUUCUCAACUGGAUAUUCAAUAAAUACUAUGUAUAUUGUUAGUUCAAUGUGUAUAUUGUUUCUUGCCUUAUUUCCCAAAACCAUUUGCACAACUCAAUUGGAGUAUCAAUUCUUUGUUACUAUAUUCAUUAU
Molecule: long non-coding RNA, 363 nt
Filed under: Solanum tuberosum (potato)
Lineage: Eukaryota; Viridiplantae; Streptophyta; Magnoliopsida; Solanales; Solanaceae
Description: long non-coding RNA (STUB_LNC001686)
Source: RNAcentral